GAUGAAGAACGUAGCGAAAUGCGAUACUUGGUGUGAAUUGCAGAAUCCCGUGAACCAUCGAGUCUUUGAACGCAAGUUGCGCCCGAAGCCAUUAGGCCGAGGGCACGCCUGCCUGGGCGUCACACGUCGUUGCCCCCCCAUCUACUCCUUCGGGAUUGCGGGGGGCGGAUGAUGGCCUCCCGUGCGCCUCGUCGCGCGGUUGGCAUAAAUGCCAAGUCCUCGGCGACGCACGCCACGACAAUCGGUGGUUGCGAAACCUCGGUUGCCCGUCGUGUGCGGUCGUCGCGCAUCGAGGGCUCGAAAAAAUUGCCGGGCUCCGGCUCGGCUUUCAACGCGACCCCAUGUCAGGCGGGGUUACCCGCUGAAUUUAAGCAUAUCAAUAAGCGGAGGA
RNAcentral lists this unclassified non-coding RNA (391 nucleotides) under soil metagenome. RNAcentral describes it as "partial contains 5.8S ribosomal RNA, internal transcribed spacer 2, and large subunit ribosomal RNA". The stretch from base 1 to 122 matches the Rfam family "5.8S ribosomal RNA", at positions 35 to 154 of the family's 154-position model. The record is from RNAcentral.